CUGUGUAUGGAGCAAUUGUCAUCUUGCCUAAACAAGGGACUGGUUUUCCAUUUCCUCAGCCAUACAAGGAGGCUAAUAUUGUCUUAGGUGAGUUAGUGCAACUAUGAGAUUUGUAACUAUAUACAGAAUUUUUUUAGAGUUUAUGCAGAAAAUGAUUGUAUUGUUUCUUGUGAAAGGUGUAGGAGAAUGGUGGAAUAACGACGUCGAUGAGGUUGUUAAACAAGGAAACAAACUGGGAUUGCCACCAAAUAUGUCAGAUGCACACACCAUCAAUGGGAAGCCAGGGCCUCUCUUUCCAUGUUCUGAAAAACGUAAGCCACUGCCUUCUGUAGAAAAGUUCUUGCCUACAAUGAGUUUAUACAAUGCACAUGGUGGACGUGCAACUAGUAAUUGUGAGAGCUACGUUGUAUAUACUCAUUGUAUGCGAGAACUUUUCCAUCUAUGACACUAGAUGUUCUGAGACUACUUUUGUUUUAUGGCACUGCCAUUUGGACAUGAAAAAUGAGACUUUGCAUUCUCAUCCCUUUUUGUUUUUGCUAUCUCAGAUACCUAUGCAUUGGAGGUUGAACAGGGAAAGACGUAUCUGCUACGAAUCAUCAAUGCUGCACUCAAUGAUGAGCUAUUCUUUGCCAUUGCUGGUCACAAUUUGACAGUGGUAGAAAUUGAUGCAGUCUACACCAAACCAUUCACAUCUCAAGCAAUACUAAUAGCACCAGGCCAGACCACGAAUGUUCUCGUUCAAGCCAACCAAGUGCCCGGAAGAUAUUUCAUGGCUGCUAGGCCAUUCAUGGACGCACCGGUUUCCAUUGACAACAAAACUGCCACUGGAAUACUGCAGUACAAAGGCAUCCCAAAUACUGUGCAGCCAGUUCUUCCCCAACUUCCGGCACUCAAUAACACAGCUUUUGCAUUGAGCUUCAAUGCCAAGCUAAGAAGUCUAAACACAGCACAGUUCCAGGCCAGUGUACCUCUUAAAGUUGAUCGACAUCUCUUUUACACGAUCGGGUUGGGAAUCAACCAAUGCACCACUUGCCUGAAUGGAACACAGCUCACUGCUUCUUUAAACAAUAUCACAUUUGUGAUGCCCCAAAUUGGGCUGCUUCAAGAUCAUUAUUUCAACACCAAGGGAGUAUUUACCACAGAUUUCCCAGACCGCCCUCCAACACCUUUCAAUUACACUGGUGCACCAAUCACUGCCAACCUUGGCAGUUGGCACUAAACAAGGCACCCGGCUUAGCAAACUUGCCUUCAAUUCAACAGUUGAGUUGGUGGUACAAGACACCAAUCUUCUCACAGUGGAGUCCCAUCCUUUCGACCUUCAUGGUUACAAUUUCUUUGUUGUUGGGACCGGAGUUGGGAACUUUGACCCCAAAAAGGACCCGGCAAAGUAUAAUUUGAUGGAUCCUCCCGAAAGAAACACAAUUGGAGUUCCUGCCGGUGGUUG
This 1444-nucleotide long non-coding RNA is filed under the name Prunus dulcis (almond). RNAcentral describes it as "sRNA ncRNA". The record is from RNAcentral. Lineage: Eukaryota; Viridiplantae; Streptophyta; Magnoliopsida; Rosales; Rosaceae.